AUGAAUAACUUUGGCGCGGUUGUAGCUGGCUCUUAGGAGCAUGUGCACACUCGUCAUCUUUAUCUUUCCACCUGUGCACACUAUGUAGAUCUGGAUAACUCUCGCUCUUCGGAGCGGAAACAAGGAUUGCUGCGUCGCAAGGCCGGCUCUCUUUGAAUUUCCAGGUCCUAUGUCUUUUACAAACCCCAACGAAUAAUGUAGAAUGUAGUCAAUGGGCUCUAAGCCUAUAAAACAAAAUA
Molecule: unclassified non-coding RNA, 239 nt
Filed under: uncultured Coprinellus
Lineage: Eukaryota; Fungi; Basidiomycota; Agaricomycetes; Agaricales; Psathyrellaceae
Description: sequence contains ITS1
Source: RNAcentral